Molecule: ribosomal RNA, 408 nt
Filed under: uncultured bacterium
Lineage: Bacteria
Description: partial 16S ribosomal RNA
Rfam family: Bacterial small subunit ribosomal RNA
Source: RNAcentral
GACGAACGCUGGCGGCGUGCUUAACACAUGCAAGUCGAACGAAGUGGCGAACGGGUGAGUAAUACGUGGGGAACCUGCCCUCCUUUAUGGGAUAAGCCUUGGAAACGGGGUCUAAUACCGAAUAAAGGGGGAUGGGCUCGCGGCUUAUCAGCUUGUUGGGGGGGUGUUGGCCUACCAAGGCGGUGACGGGUAGCCGGCGUGAGAGGGUGCACGGCCACAUUGGGACGGAGGUACGGCCCAGCCUCCUACGGGGGGCAGCAGUUGUGGAUAUUGCACAAUGGGCGAAAGCCUGAUGCAGCGACUCCGCGUGAGGGAUGAAGGCUUUCGGGUUGUAAACCUCUUUCGCUAUCGUACGGGUAGGUGGAGAAGAAGCGCCGGCUAACUACGUGCCAGCAGCCGCGGUAAUUC